Molecule: small RNA, 148 nt
Filed under: Pongo abelii (Sumatran orangutan)
Lineage: Eukaryota; Metazoa; Chordata; Mammalia; Primates; Hominidae
Description: Metazoan signal recognition particle RNA (ENSPPYG00000038110.1)
Rfam family: Metazoan signal recognition particle RNA
About the family: The signal recognition particle (SRP) is a universally conserved ribonucleoprotein. It is involved in the co-translational targeting of proteins to membranes. The eukaryotic SRP consists of a 300-nucleotide 7S RNA and six proteins: SRPs 72, 68, 54, 19, 14, and 9.
Source: Rfam by way of RNAcentral
GCCAGGUGUGGUGGCGUGCACCUGUAAUCCCAGCUACUUGGGAGGCUGAGGCAGGAGAAUUGCUUGAACCCAGGAGGCAGUAGUUGCAGUGAGCCGAGAUCACGCCACUGUAUUCCAGCCUGGGUGACAGAGCAAGAUUCAGUCUCAA